This 308-nucleotide signal recognition particle RNA is filed under the name Promethearchaeati archaeon. RNAcentral's name for it is "Asgard group archaeon (marine sediment metagenome) signal recognition particle sRNA". It matches the Rfam family "Archaeal signal recognition particle RNA". Lineage: Archaea; Promethearchaeati. The record is from RNAcentral.
UGGCGAGUCUAAGUGGAGUGCUAGGGCUACUCUGUAUCGGUAAACGCUCUAUAACCGGCUGAAGACCCUUGUUGAGAUGAUGAGAUUAUUUCAAGCGCCCAAUAGAAACCGUCGAAGCGACGUCCUGGAAGAUGUUUAAUCGUGGAGUUCCUCGCCGGAGGGCAGGAUCAGAAAGCGUAGAGAUCAAAUCGGUUAGGCACGGAAGUGAGCGGCCGUUCGUCUUGUUAGGCAUGCCUCUAGGGUUGCGGCGUGGAGGUACCUAUUGGAAGCGGGGUCUUAGUUAAGUCUUCGAUCUUGGGGACUCGCCA